Molecule: long non-coding RNA, 1093 nt
Filed under: Marmota monax (woodchuck)
Lineage: Eukaryota; Metazoa; Chordata; Mammalia; Rodentia; Sciuridae
Source: RNAcentral
AGUCAGUGCAGUGUGCAGUGUAGGUGCUUGGAGGGUGGCUGCCUGCCAAUUGAUGCCACCUCAUCAGUGAACAGGUUUGACUGAAACCCUGGGGAGCAAGGCUGCAGCGUGCAUGCUCUAUCCUGCAUGAAAAUAGUUUCUCAGGUCCAGGCUGCCCUGGGAGUUGGGAGACAACCUGGGUGCAUGAGAUACACAUUUAUAUUUGGCCUCGACCAGGUAAAAAUAGGAGGCAACAGAGAGGCCCAGCAGUCAUCUGGAUUAGGGCAGGGGGGAGGAAUCCAGAAGGGGAAGAUGAAGGUGCUAUUGUUUUUGUUUCCCUUCUAUUCUCUCUCUCUCCACCACAUCUGUCUUUGAUGCAGUGUCCUAAAAAUACUGGGCGGGGGAGACUUUCUGAAAUCCUAGAUGCCCUCCUCCCCAAAGAAAUACUAAAGCCAGGGCUAAAAAAAUGAAAUGCCUCAAGAUCUACCUCCCUCCAGCCCCUGCUAGGGACAGAGUGGGGUAACUUGAACCCUUCCCAUCUUCUCCUGACCUCUCCCUUUUUCCUGAUUUCCCAAUAGGGUCUGGUAACAGACCUGGGCAAGGGCAAAAUGAAGGGCACACUGCCUCCAGAGCAGGUGUCUCACCAGACGCCCAGAUCCAACCCAAGUCUGGGCUUAUAGCCCCUGUCCCUGUGUUGCAUCCUCCUCUUCUCACCCGGUCACCCUGCCCACCUGUUUCCUGAAGCUUCUCGCUCUUCUCAGAUUCAGAUUCAGUUCAUCCCCAGCUCCUGUUCCCUUCUUGCUAUGAAACCCUUCACCUAGACCAUCCCCUCCCAUCCCUGAUACUCUGUUUCACGGCACACCCAGCUCCUAUGGGGAGAGCCAGAGGGUGGGGUAUGAAUGUGAAUGGUUAGGGACCCUCCAAGGGGGAUAAAUCUGACGGUCCCCCUCCUUUCCACUCCAGCUUAGAUUUUGGUUGCCAAGGAGGCAGCAGGAACAGACUGUUCUCUGGGCUCUAGUAGGAGCAGCCAUGCCCAGGCCCCUCCCUCUCUCUUUCGCUUCUCUCCCUCCCUUCCUCCCAGACUGUUGCUAGGAAGCACCCCAAGAUUUCUUGA